This 410-nucleotide ribosomal RNA is filed under the name uncultured bacterium. RNAcentral's name for it is "bacterial SSU rRNA". It matches the Rfam family "Bacterial small subunit ribosomal RNA", at positions 30 to 442 of the family's 1533-position model. The record is from RNAcentral.
AUUGAACGCUGGCGGCAGGCCUAACACAUGCAAGUCGAGCGCGAAAAUUCCUUCGGGGAUGAGUAGAGCGGCGGACGGGUGAGUAAUGCGCAGAAAUCUGCCCAGUAGUGGGGGACAACCUGGUGAAAACCAGGCUAAUACCGCAUACGCCUACGGGGAAAGGCAGGGAGUCUUCGGACCUUGCGCUAUUGGAUGAGUCUGCGUCGGAUUAGCUUGUUGGUGAGGUAAUGGCUCACCAAGGCGACGAUCCGUAGCUGGUCUGAGAGGAUGAUCAGCCACACUGGAACUGAGACACGGUCCAGACUCCUACGGGAGGCAGCAGUAGGGAAUAUUGGACAAUGGGCGGAAGCCUGAUCCAGCCAUCCCGCGUGUAGGAAUAAAGCCCUAUGGUUGUAAACUACUUUNUUAGG